Molecule: long non-coding RNA, 496 nt
Filed under: Gossypium raimondii (Peruvian cotton)
Lineage: Eukaryota; Viridiplantae; Streptophyta; Magnoliopsida; Malvales; Malvaceae
Description: long non-coding RNA (GRAI_LNC008895)
Source: RNAcentral
UAGAUUAAAAUUACAAUUCCUAUAUCCCUGAAAUUGCAGUGGGUUGGAAUGAGGCUUCCUGAAGAAGAGAAGCACCAAAUAAGUCGAGAUUUGACAAGACUAGGCAAAAUUGGCCUUUUUGAUGUCUUUACUCCAUUCUCGUUACACGAUAAUGAGCAAAGAGGGGCAGCUGCAAUAGGUCUUUUUUACCCGGGCCUAAACCAAACCAAAUAAAAAUAAAAUAAUUACAAGUCCAAUUACAAAAGAGGCCCAAUGGCCUAAAAUAAGAGAAAACCCUAACGGCCCGUUGGCCUAACAACUUAAACAUUUUCGAAAACAAAAAAAAAAUCCCUAAACCCCUCUCUGCCGCUCCUCCUUUCGCAUGCAUGCUGCCCGAGGCUUGAUGCACCAUUUCUGUCGCUGUUUCACCAAUGUAGCAAAAGGUCUGCCUUUAUCUCUUUAUUAAUCGAGCUCCAAACCUGCAAAAAGGAUGAAAAAUUGCAGAAACAAAAACAAC